Molecule: ribosomal RNA, 512 nt
Filed under: uncultured bacterium
Lineage: Bacteria
Description: partial 16S ribosomal RNA
Rfam family: Bacterial small subunit ribosomal RNA
Source: RNAcentral
GAUGAACGCUGGCGGCGUGCCUAAUACAUGCAAGUCGAACGAAACUUCUUUAUCACCGAGUGCUUGCACUCACCGAUAAAGAGUUGAGUGGCGAACGGGUGAGUAACACGUGGGCAACCUGCCCAAAAGAGGGGGAUAACACUUGGAAACAGGUGCUAAUACCGCAUAACCAUAGUUACCGCAUGGUAACUAUGUAAAAGGUGGCUAUACUACCGCUUUUGGAUGGGCCCGCGGCGCAUUAGCUAGUUGGUAGGGUAAAGGCUUACCAAGGCAAUGAUGCGUAGCCGAAUUGAGAGGUUGAUCGGCCACAUUGGGACUGAGACACGGCCCAGACUCCUACGGGAGGCAGCAGUAGGGAAUCUUCCACAAUGGGCGAAAGCCUGAUGGAGCAACGCCGCGUGGGUGAAGAAGGUCUUCGGAUCGUAAAACCCUGUUGUUAGAGAAGAAAGUGCGUGAGAGUAACUGUUCACGUUUCGACGGUAUCUAACCGGAAAGCCACGGCUAACUACGUG